Molecule: ribosomal RNA, 443 nt
Filed under: uncultured bacterium
Lineage: Bacteria
Description: partial 16S ribosomal RNA
Rfam family: Bacterial small subunit ribosomal RNA
Source: RNAcentral
CCUACGGGGGGCAGCAGUGGGGAAUAUUGGGCAAUGGGCGCAACCCUGACCCAGCAACGCCGCGUGAAGGAAGAAGGCUUUCGGGUUGUAAACUUCUUUUAUCAGGGACGAAGAAAGUGACGGUACCUGAUGAAUAAGCCACGGCUAACUACGUGCCAGCAGCCGCGGUAAUACGUAGGUGGCAAGCGUUAUCCGGAUUGACUGGGGGUAAAGGGUGCGUAGGCGGGUGGGCAAGUUAGUUGUGAAACUCAAGGGCUCAACCCAUAGACUGCAUUUGAAACUGUUCGUCUUGAGUGCAGGAGGGGCAAGCGGAAUUCCGGGUGUAGCGGUGGAAUGCGUAGAUAUACGGAGGAACACCAGUGGCGAAGGCGGAUUGCUGGACAGUAACUGACGCUGAGGCGCGAAAGCGUGGGGAGCAAACAGGAUUAGAUACCCGAGUAGUC